GAUGAACGCUGACAGAAUGCUUAACACAUGCAAGUCAACUUGAACUUCGGUUUGGGUGGCGGACGGGUGAGUAACGCGUAAAGAACUUGCCUCACAGAUAGGGACAACAUUUGGAAACGAAUGCUAAUACCUGAUAUUAUGAUUAUAUGGCAUCGUAUAAUUAUGAAAGCUAUAUGCGCUGUGAGAGAGCUUUGCGUCCCAUUAGCUAGUUGGAGAGGUAACGGCUCACCAAGGCGAUGAUGGGUAGCCGGCCUGAGAGGGUGAUCGGCCACAAGGGGACUGAGACACGGCCCUUACUCCUACGGGAGGCAGCAGUGGGGAAUAGUGGACAAUGGACCAAGAGUCUGAUCCAGCAAUUCGGUGUGCACGAUGAAGUUUUUCGGAAUGUAAAGUGCUUUCAGUGGGAAGAAAAAAAUGACGGUACCAACAGAAGAAGUGACGGCUAAAUACGUG
RNAcentral lists this ribosomal RNA (453 nucleotides) under uncultured bacterium. RNAcentral's name for it is "partial 16S ribosomal RNA". It matches the Rfam family "Bacterial small subunit ribosomal RNA", at positions 28 to 507 of the family's 1533-position model. The record is from RNAcentral.